Molecule: long non-coding RNA, 525 nt
Organism: Antechinus flavipes (yellow-footed antechinus)
Lineage: Eukaryota; Metazoa; Chordata; Mammalia; Dasyuromorphia; Dasyuridae
Exons: 2
Source: RefSeq, a predicted model, not a curated record
CACAGUGGACUUUCCCAGGCCUCGUGGGAUCUCCGAGGCGCGGGGUGAGGGUUGGGUGUCCUGAUCAUUUCCCAGCAGCCGAAGAAACCCACAGAGGUGUGAGUAGCAGCCGCGUAGGUGGGGACAGCAAAGAGUCAGCCCCUCGCAGGGUCCUGCAGAGGGCGCGAGGAUUCCUGAUGGUGUCCAGAUGGCUGAUUCUCUUUGACUGAUCUUUGCCCUGAAGAUUGCCCCUCUCUUCCCUAUUCCUAAGGAAUGUAAGGCCAGUAUAUAACAUGAGCUUCUGGAAGGCAGCCCCAAGAGAGGGGUAUAAAAUCUCAUAGUAGAAAGCAGAGUGGACCAACAAGAAGGUGGGACCAGUAUGGAAGCAGGAACUCCACCAGGGAAGGAAAAAUACAGAAAUCAUCCACCAUUACUAUCAUAUCACUAUUGAGAGAAUAAGUACCAGUUACCUUGUGCUAAUUUUGCUCUCACUCCCAGAAUCUUAUAUAGAGUUAUUGGUAUUAAAUAUGUUUCUUCAAGACUGUA